This 465-nucleotide ribosomal RNA is filed under the name uncultured bacterium. Its description in RNAcentral is "partial 16S ribosomal RNA". It matches the Rfam family "Bacterial small subunit ribosomal RNA", at positions 39 to 507 of the family's 1533-position model. The record is from RNAcentral.
GGGGGGGGGGGGGGGGGGGGGGGGGGGGGGCGGGGGGGGGGGGGAGGGGCCUGUGGGGGGGCUGGGGGGGCGGACGGGGGAGUAACAGGUGAGUGACCUGCCCUUGGCGGCGGGAGAACGUCAGGAGCCUGGGGCUAAUACCGGACGGGGAGCCUGGCGGGCUGGGCGGGGUUGGCAAUCGUCGGCGGUUUUGGAGGGACUCGCGGCUUAUCAGCUUGUUGGUGGGGUAGUGGCUUACCAAGGCUUUGACGGGUAGCCGGCCUGAGAGGGCGACCGGCCACAUUGGGACUGAGAUACGGCCCAGACUCCUACGGGAGGCAGCAGUGGGGAAUAUUGCACAAUGGGCGGAAGCCUGAUGCAGCAACGCCGCGUGCGGGAUGACGGCCUUCGGGUUGUAAACCGCUUUCAGCAGGGGCGAAGCUUGUGGUGACGGUACCUGCAGAAGAAGCACCGGCUAACUACGUG